CAUAGGAGUGGUGGGUGACAUUCUGUGGCCUGCGCUGUGCAGGAGGUCGGACUAGAUGAUCAGAGUGGUCCCUUCUGACCUUAGUAUCUAUGAAUCUAUGAAUCUAUGAAUGCACCGGUAGUAUUUUGCAAUAAGUGACUUGCAGCAAUAAAGCAAGAGUAGUCAAAGGAAAUAAGAAAAUGGCAUAUAACCUAGGCCCUCGUUAGACGCUGGUUAGGCCACCUCCCUAAGAAGAGCAUGACAAACCCUGUCCAGGGAGAGGGCUAAGCCUUCUGGAGACAGAUGAAAGGACCAAGAAACAGGUUCCAGACCCAGGUGGGUUUUCUAGUGAGGCGUGAGAGCAACAGAGGCAGCAGCAGGAUGUCCCCAAGAGCCAGUUCCCCUCCAGCAGGGUGCCCUCAUGAUUCAGGUCCCCUUUGAUAGAUUAGAAGCGGUGGGAGCUGCAGCUGAAGGCGAAGGAGCUAGCAGAGCAUGAGGAGAAGCAGGAAAAGCAUGAACUACAGCUAGAGAAGUGGAGGGGCAAGAGGACCCACAGAGGGGAAAGUGGGGAAAGACCCUGGGAUGCCAAGUCCACAGGGAGCCUAGAUCCUAAAUGGUUGCUCCAGAUAAGGAGGGGGGAUAUGGAUGCCUACCUCAUAGCCUUUGAGAAGGCAUGUGAUUUGAACCUGGUUGAUCCUGCAAACAACUACACAGUCUCACUCCCGUACUUGGCCCUAGAGGUACAAAGGCAUACAGCCGAAUGGAUGGAGUUGAUAGUGGUGGCUAUGAAUGGUUCAAAAAGGCUUUACUGAUUAAGUAUGAUUUGGCACCUGGGGUUAUAAGAAAAGGUCUUGGGGUGUGCAGAAGACCCAGGUUGUGACAUAUAUAGAAGCCACCAUCCUGAUGGGAGAGUAUCUCCACAAAUGAGGUAAGGGUGCAGGUGUCACUAUACUGGAGAAUUUGUACAAUCUGGUUGGUUUGGAACAACUCUAUGAGCUCUGUCCCCACUAGCUUAAAAGAUGGUUAGUGGACAAGAAGCCUCAGGCUCUGCGUAGUGCAAGCAGGUUGGCAGAAGAGUUUGUGGACAGUCACUUUGUGUAUCGAGAGAGACUCAAAGGGGACUGGGGAAAGGGAACCAAUGGAGGCAACCCAGAAGUGAGACUCAGAUAAACCCAAAGUGGGGAGAGCGGCUGAUACGGGUAGACCUCAUCCAAGGGAUCUCAAAGACCUGAUGUAAUAUCUGCAAAAAAACAGAGCAUAAGUGGGCAAAAUGCUCAAAGGAUUAACUUGGUGAAAGCCCAGCCAGAGGGAAUGCCACCUCCUUGUGCCUAUGAGGCCUACAGGCAACCUGUAGCUCAACCUCAGAGCGUGAAUUUUGUGACUGAACAUUUGGAGGAAAGCAGACACCCAGCCCACUCCUAGGGACAGUGAUGGAUGGGCUCCCAGUCAAGGCACCGAUAUACAUGUGCUAUUGUACUCUCUUGGGCUCACACACACCUGACCUCUAGUGGGAGCUGAAGGGGUGGAUAAUGGGAAAAUAUUCAGGGUUGGAAAGAUUCUGGGACAGAGAGACCCCUUGUCACAUCCUGUGUGGUGCAACCGCAUCAAGUGCUAGCUUGAAGGGCUGUGUAACAUGCUUCUUGGUGCCGAGGGGAACUCUCGUGUCAGGACUCCACCCCUGCAGCUCCGGGCUGAGCGCUGCACAGGUCUCUAGGAACCUACACUUCAACCUCCUCACGUUCAGUUCCCACUGCCGUUCCUCCCAGCUCUGCAGCACGCUCCUGCCCCACCAGCCCAUGCUAGUCGGCCAAGCCCAGAAAUGGCACUCCACCCAGGGAAGCCACUCCAGGAAAAUAUCAUGCAGAGUCACCCUAAGAAGAGGAGCUCCCAAAGGGUGCUGAUGAAAAUGUGCACAGGUAGGAGAAACACCAAAACAAAACCAAGACCUGUUGUUUGAAAACACAAGAACAUAAGAACGUAAGAAUGGCCAUAUUGGGUCAGACCAAAGGUCCAUCCAGCCCAGCAUCCUGUCUGCCGACAGUGGCCAGUGCCAGCUGCCCCAGAGGGAGUGAACCUAACAGAUGAGAGGACAACAAGGCAAAGGAGAAAGCGACAACACUCAAGGCAGCUGAAUGAAGAAGAGAAAAUUACUCUUGCCUUUGUUGAAAGCAACCUGAGCAGAAAGAGUAGGUGAAAGACAGACUGCAAGGGAUAGAGAAGAGUUGGGAAAGGCCAUGUGGUCCCAAUACAACAGUAUCUUUGAUCCUAUAUGAAAUGUAUAAAUUUUCAAUUCAUGUA
Molecule: long non-coding RNA, 2277 nt
Organism: Dermochelys coriacea (leatherback sea turtle)
Lineage: Eukaryota; Metazoa; Chordata; Testudines; Dermochelyidae
Exons: 3
Source: RefSeq, a predicted model, not a curated record